This 505-nucleotide ribosomal RNA is filed under the name Teratembia geniculata. Its description in RNAcentral is "partial 16S ribosomal RNA". The stretch from base 380 to 505 matches the Rfam family "Bacterial large subunit ribosomal RNA", at positions 2475 to 2600 of the family's 2925-position model. The record is from RNAcentral. Lineage: Eukaryota; Metazoa; Arthropoda; Insecta; Embioptera; Teratembiidae.
GGCUUUGAGGGUUAAUGUGAGGUUGGUUCUGCUCAAUGAGUUUUAAAUUGCCGCGGUAAUUUGACUGUGCGAAGGUAGCAUAAUAAUUAGUUUAUUAAUUGUGAACUUGGAUGAAUGAUUUGAUGAUCAGAUGGCUUUCAUAGUUUGAUUAGAUUGAAUUUAAUUUUUGAGUUAAAAAGCUUAAGUAGUUUUGAGGGACGAGAAGACCCUAUAGAACUAAUAUAUGUAUUUUAUUGGGUGAUUUUGUUUUGAGUUAUAUUUARUGGUGUAUUUAUUUAGUUGGGGUGAUUAUCAUAAUAAUUUAACUUUGGUAAUGUUUAUAUAUUUGGGUAGUUAAUUUGAUCUUGUGUAUUGAUUAUUAGAUAAGUUACCUUAGGGUUAACAGCGUAAUUUUGAUGGAGAGUUCUUAUUAAUAUUGAAGUUUGCGACCUCGAUGUUGAAUUAAAGUUUAUUUUUGGUGGAGGGACUAAAAAUAUUAGGUCUGUUCGACCUUUAAAAUUUUACA